CCGGUGGCACGCCCACGCCCGGCGCCCCCAGGCCACGCUGGCGGCCAGCCCUUGUUGAAAUUGCUCCGGGCCUCCGGUAUGCAAUUUUUUUUUGAAAUUGCUCCAUGACUACUACUCUGCUUACCUUUUACAUGAUUGCUAGUCUAUUUAUGCUAUUUCUAUGCAAAGUAAUGAUAAUGAAUAUUUCAUUUCAUUGAUUUGAGCAGGAAGUAUUUGAGUCUUAGUUUGCAAUUGCAACAUUUCAUAAUCAUAACUUAGAAUGGAGAAAUACUAUGCUAAAUAUAGGGCUGAGAUGUUAAAACUUUUUAUGUAGAAUUGAGGACAUCGGAACAAGUGGAAGUGGUGUUAAUUCAUGAAGACAUGUAUGGUUCUUUUUUUCGUAGAAGUAUUUUUCUACCUUCAAUGUUCUAUGUAUUGUUUGAGUCUAUUGGUUCAACACUAGAAUCUAGAGAAUUAUAUAAUUAUUGUGCUCUUUGAAAAAUAUGUUAUAUCUAGUAGUGCAUGGCUAGUAAGAUUUUAAGCCUUAUAUUAGUUAGCUCGGGGCGGAACCCGGUUCUGGAUCCGCCACUGGUCGUGGUAAUCUGUUGAUGUCAUGACCGGGAGACCAAAUUAAUAUUUUUACAUGAUUUGAGGAUACGAAAAAAUGUAAAUGAGAUGCUAUGACUUCGUUUCUCCAAAAGUCGAGUAGUUCGAGUUUAGAGAAGAGGGUUGUUACGUGCCGCAUGCCUCUGCAGUUGUGAACUGUGAAAAGAAAAUGAAACUAAGAG
Molecule: long non-coding RNA, 767 nt
Filed under: Setaria italica (foxtail millet)
Lineage: Eukaryota; Viridiplantae; Streptophyta; Magnoliopsida; Poales; Poaceae
Description: long non-coding RNA (SITA_LNC006637)
Source: RNAcentral